CUAAGGCUCCAGAGGAAGCCACGGCUAACUCUGUGCCAGCAGCCGCGGUAAUACAGAGGCGGCAAGCGUUGUUCGGAAUUAUUGGGCGUAAAGAGCACGUAGGCGGCCUUGCAAGUCAGUUGUGAAAGCCUUCCGCUUAACGGAAGAAUGCCAGCUGAUACUACAGGGCUUGAGUGCGGGAGGGGAGAGUGGAACUUCUGGUGGAGCGGUGAAAUGCGUAGAUAUCAGAAGGAACGCCGGCGGCGAAAGCGACUCUCUGGCCCGAAACUGACGCUGAGUGUGCGAAAGCUAGGGGAGCAAACGGAAUUAGAUACCCCGGUAGUCCUAGCCGUAAA
RNAcentral lists this ribosomal RNA (335 nucleotides) under uncultured Planctomycetales bacterium. RNAcentral describes it as "bacterial SSU rRNA". It matches the Rfam family "Bacterial small subunit ribosomal RNA", at positions 473 to 806 of the family's 1533-position model. Lineage: Bacteria; Pseudomonadati; Planctomycetota; Planctomycetia; Planctomycetales. The record is from RNAcentral.